UACGAAGGGGGCUAGCGUUGUUCGGAAUUACUGGGCGUAAAGGGCGCGUAGGCGGUGUGUCAAGUCAGGCGUGAAAGCCCCGGGCUCAACCUGGGAACCGCGCUUGAGACUGGCACGCUCGAGUCCGGGAGAGGAUGGUGGAAUUCCCAGUGUAGAGGUGAAAUUCGUAGAUAUUGGGAAGAACACCGAUGGCGAAGGCAGCCAUCUGGACCGGCACUGACGCUGAGGCGGCGAAAAGC
RNAcentral lists this ribosomal RNA (239 nucleotides) under uncultured bacterium. Its description in RNAcentral is "partial 16S ribosomal RNA". It matches the Rfam family "Bacterial small subunit ribosomal RNA", at positions 524 to 761 of the family's 1533-position model. The record is from RNAcentral.